CAAAAGCUCGCGAUGCCGCCCUCGCCGCAUGGAUUGCCGACAAUGUGACCUUCCCCUGCACCAUGGUUGACCGCAUUGUUCCGGCGGCGACCGAAGAGACGCUACAGCUGGUUGCCGACCAGUUAGGAUAGUAAUCGUGGAUCAGAAUGCCACGGUGAAUACGUUCCCGGGCCUUGUACACACCGCCCGUCACACCAUGGGAGUGGGUUGCAAAAGAAGUAGGUAGCUUAACCUUCGGGAGGGCGCUUACCACUU
This 255-nucleotide ribosomal RNA is filed under the name Salmonella enterica subsp. enterica serovar Cerro. RNAcentral describes it as "partial 16S ribosomal RNA". It matches the Rfam family "Bacterial small subunit ribosomal RNA", at positions 1201 to 1462 of the family's 1533-position model. The record is from RNAcentral. Lineage: Bacteria; Pseudomonadati; Pseudomonadota; Gammaproteobacteria; Enterobacterales; Enterobacteriaceae.